GGUUUCUUGGGGUUUAAUAGGAAAUUUAAUCUGCUCACUGAUCGUUAAAGAGCUGCAGUAUUAUGACUGUACAAAGGUAGCAUAAUCAUUAGCCUUUUAAUUGGUGGCUGGAAUGAAGGAUUGGACGAAGUAUUACUGUCUUAAACUAAUUAAAUGAAUUUUCUUUUUGUGUGAAAAAGCGCAGAUAAUAAUAAAGGACAAGAAGACCCUUUUAAGAUUAAUAUUUUUGAGGUAAAAUGUUUUAUUAUAAACUAAUUAUUUUUAUUUAGUGUUUUGCUGGGGCGGCAAGUAUUAUUUAACAAUACUUUAAUAAAUGUUUGUUGAUUAAUUAAAGCUGAGAGCCUUGAGAAGGCUAUUAGAGUAAGCUACUAAAGGGAUAACAGUGCAAUGUUUAUUGAGAGUUCUUAUUGACAUAAAUGUUUACUA
This 426-nucleotide ribosomal RNA is filed under the name Lamellotyphlus sotirovi. Its description in RNAcentral is "partial 16S ribosomal RNA". The record is from RNAcentral. Lineage: Eukaryota; Metazoa; Arthropoda; Diplopoda; Julida; Julidae.